Molecule: ribosomal RNA, 447 nt
Filed under: uncultured Hyphomicrobiales bacterium
Lineage: Bacteria; Pseudomonadati; Pseudomonadota; Alphaproteobacteria; Hyphomicrobiales
Description: bacterial SSU rRNA
Rfam family: Bacterial small subunit ribosomal RNA
Source: RNAcentral
AACGAAUGCUGGCGGCAGGCUUAACACAUGCAAGUCGAGCGCCCCGCAAGGGGAGCGGCAGACGGGUGAGUAACGCGUGGGAAUCUACCUUUUGCUACGGAAUAACGCAGGGAAACUUGUGCUAAUACCGUAUGUGUCCUUCGGGAGAAAGAUUUAUCGGCAAGAGAUGAGCCCGCGUUGGAUUAGCUAGUUGGUGGGGUAAAGGCCUACCAAGGCGACGAUCCAUAGCUGGUCUGAGAGGAUGAUCAGCCACAUUGGGACUGAGACACGGCCCAAACUCCUACGGGAGGCAGCAGUGGGGAAUAUUGGACAAUGGGCGCAAGCCUGAUCCAGCCAUGCCGCGUGAGUGAUGAAGGCCCUAGGGUUGUAAAGCUCUUUCACCGGAGAAGAUAAUGACGGUAUCCGGAGAAGAAGCCCCGGCUAACUUCGUGCCAGCAGCCGCGGUAA